UAACAUGUUGUGUGAAAAUCUUGAGCUAUUUUCAUGUUACUUAUUAAUGUCUCCUCUUCCUCACAUGUAUCCUGUGUAAUAGUACAGAUGUGGCUGAACUGUGUUGCUAUAAACCAUGUAAGACUUUACUGUUCAAAUCCACCAUCUUAUUCAGCUCCUUGGUCCAGCUGGCUCUGUAUGUAGGACUGGGCUUAUUGGUGCUGCUUUUGAUCAUCAUCAUCAUCACAUGGAAAGUGCAGGACAAACACAAGAAAAAAACAACGAUUCAAAAUCAGGGAAACACAGAAUUGACACUGAACCCAAACCCUGAAUAUGCAGCAAUAGACAGAACUGGCAUCAUCAAGAGAGACCCCCCAGGGCAGGCCUCUGAGGAGCCUGGUGCUGAUGUCAUCUACAGCUCCAUUGUCCUGUCAGACCCAGAGGUGUCCUCUAGAUGUUCUUCACAGCGUCCUGCUGUAACCCCAGCCAGCGAUGUGGUCUACAGCUCAGUCGCCCUGAAGCACAGAGAGUAGGGGGCAGCAACACAGAGAGGCUCCUCUACAUGUGGGGAGCUGCUGCUCUGGAGAGCUGUGAGGGACACACAGAUACUCCAGUGAUGGGGAGGGAUAAUCACCAGAGAGGAGCAUCUUACAGUGAUGUCAGCUGUAUUUAAAUGGCAUGCAGCACUGUCACAUUACAGUGUGACAGUAAGAGUCAGGCAGUGAGAAACACACAUUCAUGGCUGUUGUGCAUCUGAAUCAUGAUCAAGGUGCUAUUUGUCUCACUUGUAUGUCACUUUGGACAAAAACAUCUGCUAAAUAAGAUAAAUGUAAAUGUGAGGUAUUAUACUGGUGGUCUGUGAAAUUUUACUCAUCAUUCAUAUAAAUGGAAAAAAUACCCUUAGCAAUUGUAGUUGAGCUGCAUAAUAUAGUUACCACACUAUACAGUAUUUUGAGAAUAUUGUGUUGUUACAGUAUAUGUACCAGUGGGGGUUAAGUGAGGUCUAAAGGCUCUGGCUUUAAUUUUAUGCUCUUCUUCCGCACAUCACUGCCCCCUGCUGGAGCCUCCUUGCUCUCCUCUGACUGUGGACUUAAAAGCUGCCCUGUUUCUGUUAUAUUAUGUUUCAUUAUUAUAUUCGCACAGUAUUUGUUUUGCCACAGAAUGUUAGGCUUUUGUUUAUUGAUAAAUGGAGUGUUACUUAAAAUGCAGAACACAGACUGUGUGACUCAUCAUACACAAUGUUAAUAAAAAUGCUGAGACUUCUGGAAGUCUUCUGCACUUCUGGAAGAAUUAGAUUACAACAAUAUACAUUCAAUUUAUAUACAUAACCACACAAUUAUACUUGCACAUUUUAUAUCUGCAUAAUAUAUUCUUUGUAGCACUUAAAAUUAGUUUCAUUUGUAGCUUUAUUUUUCUGUUUUUAUGUGUGAAUGUACUGU
Molecule: non-coding RNA, 1418 nt
Organism: Paramormyrops kingsleyae
Lineage: Eukaryota; Metazoa; Chordata; Actinopteri; Osteoglossiformes; Mormyridae
Source: RefSeq, a predicted model, not a curated record